CGGAGAGUUUGAUCCCGGCUCAGGAUUAACGCUGGCGGUGUGCCUUAUGCAUGCAAGUCGAACGGUCCUUGUUUUCGGAUAAGGACAGUGGCGAACGGGUGAGUAAAGCGUAAGCAACUUAUCUUCAAGUUGGGAAUAACCUCGGGAAACCGAGGCUAAUACCGAAUGUGGUGGCCGCGUUAUGCGCGGUCACUAAAGCCGCAAGGCGCUUGAUGAGAGGCUUGCGUCCGAUUAGCUAGUUGGUGGGGUAAUGGCCUACCAAGGCGAUGAUCGGUAGCUGGCUUAAGAGGGUGGUCAGCCACACUGGGACUGAGACACGGCCCAGACUCCUACGGGAGGCAGCAGCAAGGAAUAUUGGGCAAUGGGCGAAAGCCUGACCCAGCGACACCGUGUGGGGGAAGA
RNAcentral lists this ribosomal RNA (402 nucleotides) under Dehalococcoidia bacterium. RNAcentral describes it as "bacterial SSU rRNA". It matches the Rfam family "Bacterial small subunit ribosomal RNA", at positions 1 to 411 of the family's 1533-position model. Lineage: Bacteria; Bacillati; Chloroflexota; Dehalococcoidia. The record is from RNAcentral.